This is a long non-coding RNA of Lingula anatina, 133 nucleotides long. Lineage: Eukaryota; Metazoa; Brachiopoda; Lingulata; Lingulida; Lingulidae. The record is from RefSeq and is a predicted model, not a curated record.
AAAACUCGCUUUGACGAAUCAUGGGGCGAGUUUCAAUUGGGCACACUUUCUUGCGUUCGGAAAAUUUAAAUUGUGCCCAAGGUGAGUUUAGCGAUCGUUCGUACAGAACGGAGACAAAAAAUUCAGAUUCAGA